This 231-nucleotide ribosomal RNA is filed under the name uncultured eukaryote. Its description in RNAcentral is "partial 18S ribosomal RNA". It matches the Rfam family "Eukaryotic small subunit ribosomal RNA", at positions 1208 to 1456 of the family's 1831-position model. The record is from RNAcentral.
GGAAAACUUACCAGGUCCAGACAUAAUAAGGAUUGACAGAUUGAAGAUCUUUCUUGAUUUUAUGGGUGGUGGUGCAUGGCCGUUCUUAGUUGGUGGAGUGAUUUGUCUGGUUAAUUCCGUUAACGAACGAGACCUCAGCCUGCUAAAUAGCAGUGCCUGUCUUUAUUGACAGGAUUUUCUACUUCUUAGAGGGACUAUUCGUGUUUAGCGAAUGGAAGUUUGAGGCAAUAA